This is a long non-coding RNA of Delphinapterus leucas (beluga whale), 1763 nucleotides long. Lineage: Eukaryota; Metazoa; Chordata; Mammalia; Artiodactyla; Monodontidae. The record is from Ensembl.
ACCGUGGUCAAAGACGCGCUGUCCUUGCCCGCAGAGACUGUCUGGUCUUCACGCCCCUACACCGUGAAGGCCGAGCACCGGGUGAGGCCCGCGUUCCUGCGGCCACAGAGGGGAGGGAGGCCCCAGCGAUCCCAAACACGGAGUCCUGGACAACUCCCCACGCCCUCCCGCUGCGCGAAGGCCAGGCUGUCCCCCGGGCCCUCAGGGAUCCGCGCCCCUCCCAGGCUGCGAGGACUCGGACCGGCCGGGCUGCACGCAGGCGCACUGAAGCCCGGGCAGGGGCGUGUCGGAGGCGCGCAGGGAUGGGCCGGCGGGGGCGGGGCGGGGCGGGGCCGAUGCCUUUUCCGUUGCCUGGAACCCGCAGAAAGCAGCUGCCUGGAGCGUUCUCUGCCCGCGUCUCUGCCCGCCCUCUGCGCCGCCGCUCUCCCGGAGGUUCAGGUCUGGUUCUGCAUCAGUCACCUUCUCCUGACCUGGGCAGUCGCCAUGGCACAGGCGCUCAGAGGCACUGUGACUGACUUCCCUGGAUUUGAUGAGCGGGCCGAUGCAGAAACUCUUCGGAAGGCCAUGAAAGGCCUGGGUAAAUUCAGCCUUCUUUUUGUUCUAAAAAAAAAAUGUGACAUUUGUUUUUCUGAACAAAAAAGUCAUUGUUUUACAGUAAGAUUAACUUUAGAAUAUUUUGAGCUGAACAUAUAUAGAGAGAAACAUUAAAGGAACAAAAAAAAUGACUGACCACCCGUAGUAUUUAGUCUCUAGAACCAAACAGCAGUUAAAUUCAGCCUCUUUGUUUUUUUAGCUUUUCAGCUUUACCCAUAUGGUAGCUGACUGAGUAGAUAAACAGGCAUUCCUGAGGGUGAUCAGCUGUGCAGGCUUUUGCUCUCAGUGUCCAAUCAGAUAUCCAGUUCUAUAAGUUUCUUACAUCCGACUGUCUUCACUUUCUCAGCUUUCCUUUUUUGCAAUUUAAAAACCUCUCUUCUUGAGGACUUCCACAUAUAAUUAAUCCUCCUGUCCUCAGGCUCCUUCUGUACCAGUGUCCAUGUGAAGGGAUUCAUCUUCCUCAAACUUGGCUCUGACCCCAUCACUCUCCAUUCUGAACAUCUUGUGAGAUUUCCUGUUGUAGCAGGAUCAGGUGCAGGCUUUCUGGCCUUGUAAGGCCUUCCCUGGUAUUCCAGCCCACCUUGUCGGUCUCAGCGCACAUUACUGCCUGAUGUGUCCUCUGAUCCAUCCAUGCCAGGUGAUCUGCUACUCAGGAAAGCUCUGUAUUUUCCUACUGUUGAGCUUUUCCUGGAUUCUAAAAGCCUGUCUUUCUUCCUUACAUCACUGCCUGUCAAAAUCUUUUCAUCCUUCAAGACUGUUUUGGGUGGGUGUCACCUUCUCCAUGAAGCUUUUCCCAAAACUGUCUUCCGCUGCCUUUCAGCUACGAGAACCUCCUCUGAACCCCAUUUAACACCUGGACCUCUCCUGAGGCCCUUGUCACAUUCUGCCUUACCUCACAAAAAAAAAUUUGUAUUUUUUACCCUAAAUUGUUCAUAACUUGAAACCAGGGUCUAUAUCUUUUCUCCUUUCUCAACCCCUUGGAACACCCAACACAUCAUGCCUUGUGAAGAGCUGUUAUUUGAGUAAUUACUUGUUGCAAGAAAAGCUAGGUGCACUCAGUUUUUAAAAAGUCAGGAGAAUUUUUGUGUCUCCUUCACAAUGUGUAGGGGUAGUACGUAUUGUUGGAAGCAAUAACAUUUUGAUAUUGUAAAUUUUAUAGUUUAAUAAAU